Molecule: ribosomal RNA, 871 nt
Filed under: Aspergillus quadrilineatus
Lineage: Eukaryota; Fungi; Ascomycota; Eurotiomycetes; Eurotiales; Aspergillaceae
Description: LSU rRNA
Rfam family: Eukaryotic large subunit ribosomal RNA
Source: RNAcentral
AUUGCCUCAGUAACGGCGAGUGAAGCGGCAAGAGCUCAAAUUUGAAAGCUGGCCCCUUCGGGGUCCGCGUUGUAAUUUGCAGAGGAUGCUUCGGGUGCGGCCCCUGUCUAAGUGCCCUGGAACGGGCCGUCAGAGAGGGUGAGAAUCCCGUCUUGGGCAGGGUGCCCGUGCCCGUGUGAAGCUCCUUCGACGAGUCGAGUUGUUUGGGAAUGCAGCUCUAAAUGGGUGGUAAAUUUCAUCUAAAGCUAAAUACCGGCCGGAGACCGAUAGCGCACAAGUAGAGUGAUCGAAAGAUGAAAAGCACUUUGAAAAGAGAGUUAAACAGCACGUGAAAUUGUUGAAAGGGAAGCGCUUGCGACCAGACUCGGCCCCGGGGUUCAGCCAGCACUCGUGCUGGUGUACUUCCCCGGGGGCGGGCCAGCGUCGGUUUGGGCGGCCGGUCAAAGGCCCCAGGAAUGUAUCGCCCUCCGGGGUUGUCUUAUAGCCUGGGGUGCAAUGCGGCCAGCCCGGACCGAGGAACGCGCUUCGGCACGGACGCUGGCGUAAUGGUCGCAAACGACCCGUCUUGAAACACGGACCAAGGAGUCUAACAUCUACGCGAGUGUUCGGGUGUCAAACCCGUACGCGCAGUGAAAGCGAACGGAGGUGGGAGCCCCCCCGGGGCGCACCAUCGACCGAUCCUGAUGUCUUCGGAUGGAUUUGAGUAAGAGCGUAGCUGUGGGGACCCGAAAGAUGGUGAACUAUGCCUGAAUAGGGCGAAGCCAGAGGAAACUCUGGUGGAGGCUCGCAGCGGUUCUGACGUGCAAAUCGAUCGUCAAUUUGGGUAUAGGGGCGAAAGACUAAUCGAACCUUCUGGCAGCUGGUUCCUGCC